RNAcentral lists this ribosomal RNA (446 nucleotides) under uncultured bacterium. RNAcentral's name for it is "bacterial SSU rRNA". It matches the Rfam family "Bacterial small subunit ribosomal RNA", at positions 329 to 793 of the family's 1533-position model. The record is from RNAcentral.
UUCCAGACUCCUACGGGAGGCAGCAGUAGGGAAUCUUUCACAAUGGGCGAAAGCCUGAUGGAGCAACGCCGCGUGCAGGAUGAAGGCCUUCGGGUUGUAAACUGCUUUUAUAAGCGAGAAAUAUGAUGGUAACUUAUGAAUAAGGAUCGGCUAACUCCGUGCCAGCAGCCGCGGUAAUACGGAGGAUGCGAGCGUUAUCCGGAUUUAUUGGGUUUAAAGGGUGCGUAGGCGGAAUGCCAAGUCAGCGGUAAAACCGGGGGGCUCACCCCCGGCCCGCCGUUGAAACUGGCAGUCUCGAGUUGGAGAGAAGUAUGCGGAAUGCGCGGUGUAGCGGUGAAAUGCAUAAAUAUCGCGCAGAACUCCGAUUGCGAAGGCAGCAUGCCGGCUCCACACUGACGCUGAGGCACGAAAGCGUGGGUAUCGAACAGGAUUAGAUACCCCCGUAA